This 329-nucleotide unclassified non-coding RNA is filed under the name soil metagenome. RNAcentral describes it as "partial contains 5.8S ribosomal RNA, internal transcribed spacer 2, and large subunit ribosomal RNA". The stretch from base 1 to 120 matches the Rfam family "5.8S ribosomal RNA", at positions 35 to 154 of the family's 154-position model. The record is from RNAcentral.
GAUGAAGAACGUAGCGAAAUGCGAUAAGUAGUGUGAAUUGCAGAAUUCAGUGAAUCAUCGAAUCUUUGAACGCACAUUGCGCCCCUUGGUAUCCCGAGGGGCAUGCCUGUUCGAGCGUCAUUUCACCAGUCAAGCCUGGCUUGGUGUUGGGCGACGUCCCCUUUGGGGACGCGCCUCGAAACGCUCGGCGGCGUGGCACCGGCUUUAAGCGUAGCAGAAUCUUUCGCUUUGGAAGUCGGGGCCCCGUCUGCCGGAAGACCUACUCGCAAGGUUGACCUCGGAUCAGGCAGGGAUACCCGCUGAACUUAAGCAUAUCAAUAAGCGGAGGA